Lutra lutra (Eurasian river otter) is the source of this 2756-nucleotide long non-coding RNA. RefSeq lists it as uncharacterized. The transcript has 4 exons. NCBI's taxonomy places the organism in Eukaryota, Metazoa, Chordata, Mammalia, Carnivora, Mustelidae. The record is from RefSeq and is a predicted model, not a curated record.
GCUUGUGGGCCGCCUGGAGAGCUUUGGGAGUAGCUUAUUUUAUCCAGUCGCAAGAACGCGGCAGCUCUGCAGCAGAGAAACGGCUGCCUAGUUGUGCCCAGACUCUGCUUUUCUGAACGGGGAGAUGGUUCUUUGCACCUCACUUCAGGCAGGACCAGCACAGGUGCUUCGCGGCUUGCUCUUGUUUAUUGUCUUUCGGCCCCUUCUGGAAUCCCUCAACAAGCCCAAGUUCAAGAAAUGAUGAAAAUCACACCAAAGCACAUCAUGACUAGACAGCUCAAAACUACUGAUAAAGAGAUAAUUUUAAAAAUACAUCUCAAAAGAGACAUAUUACAUAUAGUAGAACAAAGAUAAGGAUGACAGUAGAUUUCUUGCCAGAAAUAAUGCAGAUGAUAAGACAGUGGAGCAACAUCUUUAAAACAUAUAAAAUAAUUUAAAAGACUGCUGAGAAUUCUGUACCUGGCAAAAGUGUCUUUGAAAGAUAAAAGUGUGACAAAGAUUUUUUUCAGAUAUAUGAAAGCUGAAGGAAUUCAUCACCAGCAGACUCACACUACAAGAAAUCGUGUGGAAAGGUGGAUCUAAGCAAAGAAAGGAAGAACACCAGAGAUGAAAACUACAUAGAAAAACCUUACCUAAAAAUCAAGCAUCAGAUCCCAUUUGGCCCAUGGGCCAUUGUUUCCUAACCCUUGGUCUACGUAGAAAAUCCCUUGGAAUCUACAAAAAAUUUCUAAAACUACUGAGGUUACAAAUGUUACAGGACACAAAACCAAUAUACAAAAAAUUUUGGUUUUAUAUAAUAACAAUGAAUAAUCAGGGUGCUACAGCAUGUCUAUCUGUGGGUGAGAAGAGAGGACAAAUGGAGGCAUAAGGAAGUGGAACUGGGUCCUUGAGUGGGCUUGUGUGUCCUGUGCUCAAGGGAGACACGAGCCUGGGAGAAGAGCAUAGCUCCUCCGUAACAGACAAAGACGGAUAGGACUUGCUUAAUAUGCCACAGUGGCUCUUUGUUAGUGAUGAUGAUAAUACUAACAAUUACAGCAAUGAAAAUAGUUGGGAGGCCUUUGUAUUCAUUCAUAAAAUGAGUCACACAAAUUCAUCAGUCCUUGAUUUUCUUUGAUGAAGUUUUCAACCAGCACAUUGAAGAGUACCUUACAGGUACAGAAUUUUUGAGGUCUCCAGCUAAGAAAGAGUAAUGACCUCAACCCCAACUCUCCCUGGAAGCAAGGUCUAGUUGGUCUAAAUUGGAGGAAUCUUUUGAUAAGAAUGAUGGAAAAUCCUCUACCUGUUUAUUCACUGUAAAGUCAUAUUGCCAUUCAAAGUUUGCAGUACUAGUAGUAUUUUCAUGAACAAAAACCUCUGUCCCCUUCCCCCUGUUCCCUUGUCAGUCCCACUACCAUGAGUCCCAUCACUGUUACUCAUGCAGGAAAAAAAUAGCAGUAGCUUCCGUUUAUUACAUGGUAGUAGGGGCUGUCACUCACCGCAUCUUUCACAAUAGCCCUAUGCAGUAGAUAGUAUCAGCUCCUGUUAAUCAUGGAAAAUGAGGCUUAUAGAGCUUAGGUCAGGGUCUGAAGUCACAUCUCAGAAGUAUCAGAGCCAGAAUUAAAAUCCAAGUCUGCGUGAUUCCAAAGUCUUUGCUCUUGAUGAGAAUUUCAUGUCAUGCCACCUGCCCUUCUGAAUGAAAAGUUUCACUGGUGUAGAUAUAUGCAUGUUUCCCUCCAAUUCUCAUUUAUUGCAAGGACCACAUUUUGACAUAAUAGAGGAACUCAGAAGGAUAAAAAUAAUUCACGGUUCCAACAUCCUGUUGUAGCAACUGUUUCAUUUUUCUCCAUUUCCUUUUGAUCUUUAUCCAUAUGUACAUGUUUUACGUAGUUGUAGAUACAAUUUUUAUUCUGCCACUAUGGUUAAUAUGAUGCCAGGCAUUUUCCUUCCUGCUAUUUGGUCUUUAAUGGACGCAUAAUACUCCAUUUUCUUAAAGUGCCAUGAUUUCAUUAACCAAUCCCCACAAUGGACAAAGUUGUUUCCAUGCUCUUAGUUGUAGAAACUAUACUGUAGCAAACAAUUUGAUUUCUGCCUCCUCCUAAUUUUUUUUAAAGAAUCAGUUCCUAGGAGUGACAUUACAAAACAAGAAUUUGAACAUGUUUAUGGCUUUGAUACUUUAAAAAAGAGUCGAAUUAAUAAAGUUUGUACCUCUGAUGAUAGUAAACGGAUAGCCUAACCCACAAGAACAGAUUAACUACAUUAAUUAUUAUUUAGGGGAACCAAAUUAAUGACAAACGGGGAGUAAUUGCUUGUGAGUACAGGGUUUCUUUUCGGGGUGGUGAAAUGUUCUGGAAGUAGGUGGUGGUGAUGGUUGUACAGCUUUGUGAUGAUACUAGAAACACUGAAUUGUGUGUAUACUUGAAAAAUGUCAAUGGUAUGUUAUAUGAAUUAUAUAUCAAUAAAGCCACUAUAAAGAAUUAAAGUUUCUGAUAUUCCAAGUAAUGGUUUCAACCAUUGCUACCAAUGUUCUGUGUUUGUUUCUGUAUUUAUAUAUGGAAGCAUCAGAUUGCCUGGGUUUGACUCAUGGCAUCACCACUCAGCUGCUGUGUGACCCCUGGCCAGCGCUAUGUAAGUUGGGUCCUACAGAAGCCCACACUGAGAUAGAGUUUGGGGUAUAGGAUAUGUGUUGAGGAUCAGCACUUAUGAAAGCAGGGCAGAAGCAGGGCUAGGUGGAAGGGGUAGGAACAAUGCCCAAGUCUGACAGCCUCAGUCAACCCUGC